AACGAACGCUGGCGGCAGGCCUAAUACAUGCAAGUCGAACGCACUCUUCGGAGUGAGUGGCAGACGGGUGAGUAACGCGUGGGAAUCUUCCCAAUGGUACGGAAUAACUCCGGGAAACCGGUGCUAAUACCGUAUAAGCCCUUCGGGGGAAAGAUUUAUCGCCAUUGGAUGAGCCCGCGUCGGAUUAGCUAGUUGGUAGGGUAAUGGCCUACCAAGGCUUCGAUCCGUAGCUGGUCUGAGAGGAUGAUCAGCCACACUGGGACUGAGACACGGCCCAGACUCCUACGGGAGGCAGCAGUAGGGAAUAUUGGACAAUGGGCGAAAGCCUGAUCCAGCCAUGCCGCGUGAGUGAAGAAGGCCUUAGGGUUGUAAAGCUCUUUUGGCGGGGAAGAUAAUGACGGUACCCGCAGAAUAAGCUCCGGCUAACUUCGUGCCAGCCGCCGCGGUAAUU
This 451-nucleotide ribosomal RNA is filed under the name uncultured bacterium. Its description in RNAcentral is "bacterial SSU rRNA". It matches the Rfam family "Bacterial small subunit ribosomal RNA", at positions 29 to 525 of the family's 1533-position model. The record is from RNAcentral.